AUUGGCCCCUUGCAGGUGACUGAAGGUGGAUGAUAUUUUUUGCUGUAAAAAAAAACAAUGUGAAUUCUGAUUGGGUUAAGUAAAAUGUAAAUUCUGAUUAUUGGGGAGGGUUAGUCAAAUGUGAAUUCUGAUUGGGUUAGUCAAAUGUGAAUUCUGAUUGGGUUAGUCAAAUGUGAAUUCUGAUUGGGUUAGUCAAAUGUGAAUUCUGAUUGGGUUAGUCAAAUGUGAAUUCUGAUUGGGUUAGUCAAAUGUGAAUUCAGAUUGUUGGGAAGGGUUUUUGAGUUAACGGUCAUUCAUGAGUUGCCAAGGCAAUGACAAGCAGGGAGGGUAACCCAGUACCCUUACCCUUUUGAGUGGGAUGUUUGUACAGUGGGUUGACUAAACUCCUGCAACCUUGUCAGCUCCUUUGACUUACUGUUACCUGUGAUGUGGUGCAGGGCCAGCAUAAAUGAUGUCUAUAUCCGCGUCUCCCCAGGUAUUGAAAGCCCCCAUCCACCCUGUCCCCACAUCCUGGUGUCUGUGCAGGCCCUGGUCCGCAUGCCCGUUCUGCUGCUGCCUGUAGGUCUGUCAGUGCCGAAAACCCAAACGGUUGGGGGGGUCCUUGGGUUCUACUUGAGCACACCUGCAGGGAUGGCCCCUCAUGUUUAAAGCAGGUUGUAUACCACUUACAGUACAUUGAAGGUAAGCUAUCUCCCCCCCCUCCUAAAAAACUAAACUCAUCAACUCCAACUGGUUAUUACCUCAUGUUUUAUUUUAUUUUUAUAUUACACAUGGUUUUAGCCAGAUGUCCCUGUAGACAUGGUUAUGUCAAGAAAUAUGGUUUCUAUAAGACAACUAUAUAUUCCUUAAGCAUAAUUCAAAUCACUAUGGCAAAGCUGGAUUUAAAAAAAAUCCAAAUCGGUCAUGCAUCUAAAUUGUAGAGAGAAAAUUGAGGAGGGGGGGGGGGGGGGCUUUAUCCAACAAGCUGUCACCUUCAGUGUACUUCUCUUAAUGCAAAAGCUACAUUUUAUUUGCUCUACUGUGUAAUGAAUACCUUUCUUUUCCUGCGCUCCCUUUACGGUGUUACGAUGUUAGAAACUGUGAGGAUAGCAGUCUUGCUAUGUACACAAAAGCAUGUGUUAAUUGUUUCUAGGUGUGUUCUCUAAAAAAUAAUAAUAAUAAUAAGGCUAUGUAGGUGUUUUGUUUCCCUCUGUUAUCUGUCAUUGGUUUUCAUGUUUUGUAUGACCAUGGUGUCUUUUGAUACAGGGAUAUUCCUGCACUGAGCUUUGAGUCUGCUUGUUAUGAUCGGUAAUUGCCUCUACUUUAUUUGGUGUUAUACAUAUAUAAUGAUGAUCUUAUAGGACCAAAACAGAAAUAAAACAGCCUAAAUGAGUAGCUAAUGCAGUAUGUAUGCCUUUUCCAUAAAAUGUCUUCCCUACAUACAAAUGCCAAUGUUCAGGCCCCAUAAAGUGUCAACAAUGAACUGAAAUGCGUUCUUUUUAAAGCUAAUUCACCAAACCUAAGCUAAGAAUACUUUGGUGUUCAGCGACUUUUAGGCUGGAAUCCAAACUUGAGAUCUGUGCGCCAAAACUUGACACGUACAGAUCGAAAGUUAGAAUUCGGCCCUCACGUGCUAGAUUUAGUUCAAACCAAAGGAGCAGAAGAAGACAACAUUUUGUGUGCUGUUUCACUGACUCUGAUGUUUGUGCUGUUUUCCCCCACAAUGAUGUUUCCUGUGGUGGCUGAGAGCGAGACAAGAGUCCAGCACUUCCUUCUCCAGCCCGGGCUCCCCUUUCAGAGAGACAAGACCUCCACAAGGCCACUUAUCAAGGUCAUUUCUGAUGGCAUGUGUAGAUACUAAAAGCCGUAAAGCUAUAGAAAUAAAUAGUCGCAAACUCGUAUAACUCCCAGCGACUCUAUUUAGUUGUAUAGCUUCCAGUUAAUUUGCCGAUAGUCAGCACACGAGUGUUCUCUGGGGAUGCUCCAGCUUGUUAUUAGAUACUAGAAGCCAACAACACUGGGGUUGAUGUAAAAUACAAUAUGGCGAAUUCAUUUUGCUUACUGUUUUCCUGGGAAGGCAUUUGUCAUAGACGCUCACCCACACUCAACCAUUAAAAAGUUGUGGUUCCAAAUGUUUCCUCUCACAAGAUGUUAAGGAUUUAUCGUUGUAUUCGUCUACACGUGACAGACACUUUUUGGUUAACAAAGAGUCAUUACAAGCUGCACAUGUACCUGAGUGUGUUUUGAUUACGCAUAUGGCUCUAAACUGGUUCCAGAUUACCACCAGGCAUCCGGUAGCUUGACUUGUAACUGUCAAAGUUGAACCACCAGGCGUCCGGUAGCUUGACUUGUAACUGUCAAAGUUGAACCACCAGGCGUCCGGUAGCUUGACUUGUAACUGUCAAAGUUUAACCACCAGGCGUCCGGUAGCUUGACUUGUAACUGUCAAAGUUGAACCACCAGGCGUCCGGUAGCUUGACUUGUAACUGUCAAAGUUGAACCAUCAGGCGUCCGGUAGCUUGACUUGUAACUGUCAAAGUUGAACCAAGAUACUUGUUCAUUUGUUCUCUAUAUGUUCUAGGUGCCGCCCUUUUAGAGAAGAGUCUCGCAAGGAACCUCCUCUGGACAAAGGUUUCUGUUCUGAAGAGAGUUACAGUAUUUGUAAAGGGUAAGUCAGAACUUCUCUUCCCUGCCUUGGUUCCUUCAGUCUCCUCUUUCCGCUUUGGUGCCCAUGUAAGACUUGAGACCAGGGAAGAUGUUCCAUGAAUGAGCCCCUGUGGAUAUUUCUCAAAUAGAAAAUGUUAAAACAGAAAUGUUUUAUUUUUUUAAUGUUAUGUAACACAUUUGUCUACAUCCUUCACUUUAUUCAAUGUAAUCUUGUACACUACUGUUUCCUUAUGAUAUAACAUCAAUGUGCAUGCUCUGUCCUUAAUUGAGAACAUAACCAACAUGUGUUCAUUUUUCAUUUGGCAUAUUAAUACAAUAAACAUAGGCACAGACUA
Long non-coding RNA from Oncorhynchus masou masou (cherry salmon), 2981 nucleotides. RefSeq lists it as uncharacterized. The transcript is spliced from 2 exons. Lineage: Eukaryota; Metazoa; Chordata; Actinopteri; Salmoniformes; Salmonidae. The record is from RefSeq and is a predicted model, not a curated record.